Molecule: long non-coding RNA, 1619 nt
Organism: Pungitius pungitius (ninespine stickleback)
Lineage: Eukaryota; Metazoa; Chordata; Actinopteri; Perciformes; Gasterosteidae
Exons: 4
Source: RefSeq, a predicted model, not a curated record
UCAGCCAUGGGAGCUGCUGCGCUGCGCCUCUCGGGCUAUGGCUCAGUGCGGCUACGGCUGUCCGCGGUGGCGGCGCAGCGCAGCGCAGCAGCGUCCGGCUUCCACUGCUUCCAUCCGCCGCCCGGCGGAGACCGUCGUCGCGCCGGAACGCAAAGGACGGACCGGCUUGCUUUUUGCUGUCUUGUCACUGGAACUAAUCCCACGGAUCGAACCGCUCCUACUCCAGGAUUCUUUUGGAGACUUUAACGUGAUUAAAACGCUACUUUCGCAGCCGUGGCGCCGGUGGAGGAGUUCACGUCGCUGCUCGCGGCGGUCAAGCGUCGCGAUGGAUUCAACACGCCGGCUGUGCAUCGUCCGGCGCGACGUGAGGGAAUAUACCGUCUCCGACACGGGGAUGAAUAGUGUCCGUCCGUCCAGUUGGUCGGACAGGAGCGUCUCUCGGGACACCCGGCGCGUGCGGCCAGUGUCACCAGUGUCACCAACGGUCAACACCAAGACGCGCUUUUUUGGAGAGCGAUAUUCGUUGAGCUGGAUUUUGUCACAAGGGGGAAAGGAAUAUUCCGGAAUAUAAUUUGAAAGCCCUCAACAGACGUUCUGCAGUUGGGAUGGUGACAUGUCGCAUCCCCUCAUCCAGCAGUGAAGGGAUCCGAUUUCAUGGAAUGAGAGGCUGAUUCUUUAAUUGCUUUCCAGGGAAUUUCUGAUGAUCUCAGGUGAGCACAGAAAAAAAGGCUGAGUAAUGGAAACAUGAUCUCAAGAGAUUCCUUCAAGGAUCAUGCCUAAUCCUGGUUUGGACUACGGGCAGAGCAUGGCCUGCAGCAGAUGUUUGCUCCUGGCAUGGCUGCCAACAGCGUGAGCUCCAUCACUGACAAUCCAGUUCUCGGGACGCAUCGCCAGCAGCUUGGACGCGGAGAAGCUGUGACACAAACUCAGCAGGACAGUGGAGUGUAUUCUGCUGCUCAGAUAUUAUGGAACAGAUCGGUCAACCCCGUCUGGAGAGGCACUCGAUAGGAAAAUCAACUCUAUGGAGCUACGAUUACCGCGGUUACCACAAUGGAUCUACACAUUGUUUGACUUUCUCUAAAUUGAACCUGGAUUAAUAUUUCCCUGUAUAUACAUCUGCUUUUGAUAUUCAGUGUUUAUUCACGCUGUUGCUCAUUCCCUGCACUUGUGACAUAUACUGUGUUAUUCUGGAAACAGUAUCAACAAAUGCUGGAAGAGUAAAUGGAAAAUAAUCAGCUGUUAUUUCCUUCUUAGCUCUAUUAUUUUUACAGAAGGAAGGCAGCACUUACACCAAUGCAGUCACAAACAAAGUGUAUCUUGUAAGGAGCACACUAAAAGUUUUCCUGAUGAAUUGAUUAAUAUACAUAGGAAUAGUCACAGGGAUUACUCACAUUCAACAUCUUCCAAUUAAGAUAAGAUAAUCCUUUAUUCGUCCUGCAGCAGGGAAAUUACAACAACUGCGUUCACAAAUGAAGCCAUUGAACCAAAGGUGCUUAUGAAUAAAACUAUUAACAACUCUUUGGCAAUCUUUUCUAACUCAUCUGAUAAAGAUGUAUUGCUUCAUCGGUUUUGUCUGUGAAACUCUCGAACAUAAAAUAAAAAGGAAAAGGUGUAAUCAA